Molecule: ribosomal RNA, 522 nt
Filed under: Cladosporium cladosporioides
Lineage: Eukaryota; Fungi; Ascomycota; Dothideomycetes; Cladosporiales; Cladosporiaceae
Description: eukaryotic LSU rRNA
Rfam family: 5.8S ribosomal RNA (bases 201-354)
Source: RNAcentral
AGUCGUAACAAGGUCUCCGUAGGUGAACCUGCGGAGGGAUCAUUACAAGUGACCCCGGUUUACCACCGGGAUGUUCAUAACCCUUUGUUGUCCGACUCUGUUGCCUCCGGGGCGACCCUGCCUUCGGGCGGGGGCUCCGGGUGGACACUUCAAACUCUUGCGUAACUUUGCAGUCUGAGUAAACUUAAUUAAUAAAUUAAAACUUUUAACAACGGAUCUCUUGGUUCUGGCAUCGAUGAAGAACGCAGCGAAAUGCGAUAAGUAAUGUGAAUUGCAGAAUUCAGUGAAUCAUCGAAUCUUUGAACGCACAUUGCGCCCCCUGGUAUUCCGGGGGGCAUGCCUGUUCGAGCGUCAUUUCACCACUCAAGCCUCGCUUGGUAUUGGGCAACGCGGUCCGCCGCGUGCCUCAAAUCGACCGGCUGGGUCUUCUGUCCCCUAAGCGUUGUGGAAACUAUUCGCUAAAGGGUGCUCGGGAGGCUACGCCGUAAAACAACCCCAUUUCUAAGGUUGACCUCGGAUCAG